This 836-nucleotide long non-coding RNA is filed under the name Chlamydomonas reinhardtii. Its description in RNAcentral is "long non-coding RNA (CREI_LNC001051)". The record is from RNAcentral. Lineage: Eukaryota; Viridiplantae; Chlorophyta; Chlorophyceae; Chlamydomonadales; Chlamydomonadaceae.
UUCCAGCGGCGGCAAGAACCUGAUCAUGGAGGCCCACAAGAAGGUCGUCGACUACCACAUCAGCAUCAACGCUUCCAUCCCCGAGCCCUACGCCUCCACCUACCCCAGCCAGGUAAGCACGCAGCAGCCGCUCACCCGCCGGCCGCCGCGCCACGCACUCCGCCCACAGUCAGAUGGCGCCCCCCAAUUAAGCAACCGGCAACGCUUCCCCAUGCCACGGACCGUGCUGCACCCGCAUAACAUAGCGUGCUAUGCCGCGUCCAUCACCGUCACCCUAACGCCGAUGCCACACCCACACGCCUCUUCCUCUCCCGCCCCACCCGGGUCCUAUCGGCCAUUCCUCACCCCUCCCGCCUCACCCCUCCCGCCCCACCCCGGUCUCUCCCCGCCCCUCCCGCAGGCUGUCGUCGUGGUGUGGGACCCCCAGAUCCAGUGGACCGGCGGCGCCUGGCACUCGUACAAGAACGGCAUCUACGGCAGCCAGGUGUCCACCAACUACACCGACCCCCGCAACGCCGUGCCUGUGGCCUCCAUCAAGCCCUUCGCCGGCGAGAACGUCUGGGUGGCCAACGAGGCCUUCUCCGCUGUGCAGGGCUGGGCUGAGGGCUCCCUGAUCAUGGGUGAGUCCCGCCGCAAUCCUGCGUGCUCUUGCUGUUGCGACAGGAGUGUCACGGGCGAUGUGACUGCCGUACAUGAUACUGUAUGUGGUGGAUUGGUGAUGGGCCUGGGUGUGGUAGCUUUGGGGUUAUCGUGUGCGGGGACCUACGCCAUCCCAGCGUGCUGCACUGGUAGGUGUUGACGGCUCGUAUCCCCUGCUGUGCCCGCCUGGUGCGCAG